AUUGAACGCUGGCGGCAGGCCUAACACAUGCAAGUCGAACGAGUGGCGGACGGGUGAGUAAUGUCUGGGAAACUGCCCGAUGGAGGGGGAUAACCACUGGAAACCGUAGCUAAUACCCCAUAUCACCGGAUGUGCUCAGUUGGGAUUCGCUUGUGGGUAAGGUAACGGCUCACCAAGGCUACGAUCCCUAGCUGGGCUGAGAGGCUGACCAGCCACACUGGAACUGAGACACGGUCCUGACUCCUACGGGAGGCAGCAGUGGGGAAUAUUCCACAAUGGGCGCAAGCCUGAUGCAGCCAUGCCGCGUGUAUGAAGAAGGCCUUCGGGUUGUAAAGUACUGUUAGCAGGGAGGCGGUACCCAAAGAAGAAGCAACGGCUAACUCCGUGCCAGCAGCCGCGGUAAUAC
This 406-nucleotide ribosomal RNA is filed under the name uncultured bacterium. RNAcentral's name for it is "partial 16S ribosomal RNA". It matches the Rfam family "Bacterial small subunit ribosomal RNA", at positions 30 to 526 of the family's 1533-position model. The record is from RNAcentral.